RNAcentral lists this ribosomal RNA (254 nucleotides) under uncultured bacterium. RNAcentral's name for it is "partial 16S ribosomal RNA". It matches the Rfam family "Bacterial small subunit ribosomal RNA", at positions 524 to 776 of the family's 1533-position model. The record is from RNAcentral.
UACGUAGGGGGCAAGCGUUGUCCGGAAUCAUUGGGCGUAAAGCGCGUGUAGGCGGCUUGGUAAGUCCGCUCUGAAAGCCCGGGGCUCAACCCCGGGAGGCGGGUGGAUACUGUCAAGCUCGAGUCCGGAAGAGGCGAGUGGAAUUCCUGGUGUAGCGGUGAAAUGCGCAGAUAUCAGGAGGAACACCAAUGGCGAAGGCAGCUCGCUGGGACGUGACUGACGCUGAGACGCGAAAAGCGUGGGGAGCAAACAGG